RNAcentral lists this unclassified non-coding RNA (329 nucleotides) under soil metagenome. Its description in RNAcentral is "partial contains 5.8S ribosomal RNA, internal transcribed spacer 2, and large subunit ribosomal RNA". The stretch from base 1 to 120 matches the Rfam family "5.8S ribosomal RNA", at positions 35 to 154 of the family's 154-position model. The record is from RNAcentral.
GAUGAAGAACGUAGCGAAAUGCGAUAAGUAAUGUGAAUUGCAGAAUUCCGUGAAUCAUCGAAUCUUUGAACGCACAUUGCGCCCCUUGGUAUCCCGAGGGGCAUGCCUGUUCGAGCGUCAUUUCACCACUCAAGCCUGGCUUGGUGUUGGGCGACGUCCCCUUUGGGGACGCGCCUCGAAACGCUCGGCGGCGUGGCACCGGCUUUAAGCGUAGCAGAAUCUUUCGCUUUGGAAGUCGGGGCCCCGUCUGCCGGAAGACCUACUCGCAAGGUUGACCUCGGAUCAGGCAGGGAUACCCGCUGAACUUAAGCAUAUCAAUAAGCGGAGGA